This 319-nucleotide ribosomal RNA is filed under the name uncultured eukaryote. RNAcentral describes it as "partial 18S ribosomal RNA". It matches the Rfam family "Eukaryotic small subunit ribosomal RNA", at positions 1470 to 1796 of the family's 1831-position model. The record is from RNAcentral.
CCCUUAGAUGUUCUGGGCAGCACGCGCGCUACAAUGGUCUUCGCAAACGGAUGCAUUCUCGAAGGAGAAUGCCAAUCUUGGAAUCUAUGCCUUGGUCGGGACAGUUGCUUGCAAUUUUUCGACUCGAACCAGGAAUUCCUUGUAAUCGUGAUUCAUCACAUCACGAUGAAUACGUCCCUGCCCUUUGUACACACCGCCCGUCGCUCCUACCGAUUGAAUGCUCAGGUGAGCCAUUCGGACCUUCAUCAUGCCGGUUUCCGGUUUUGAUGAGGGAAAGUCUUGCGAACCUUAUCAUUUAGAGGAAGGAGAAGUCGUAACA